GUGGGGAAUAUUGCACAAUGGGGGAAACCCUGAUGCAGCAACGCCGCGUGAGUGAAGAAGUAUUUCGGUAUGUAAAGCUCUAUCAGCAGGGAAGAAAAUGACAGUACCUGACUAAGAAGCCCCGGCUAACUACGUGCCAGCAGCCGCGGUAAUACGUAGGGGGCAAGCGUUAUCCGGAUUUACUGGGUGUAAAGGGAGCGUAGACGGCUGUGCAAGUCAGAAGUGAAAGCCCGGGGCUCAACCGCGGGACUGCUUUUGAAACUGUGUAGCUGGAGUGCAGGAGAGGUAAGUGGAAUUCCUAGUGUAGCGGUGAAAUGCGUAGAUAUUAGGAGGAACACCGGUGGCGAAGGCGGCUUACUGGACUGUAACUGACGUUGAGGCUCGAAAGCGUGGGGAGCAAACAGG
Molecule: ribosomal RNA, 405 nt
Filed under: uncultured bacterium
Lineage: Bacteria
Description: bacterial SSU rRNA
Rfam family: Bacterial small subunit ribosomal RNA
Source: RNAcentral